UACGGCGAGUGAAGCGGCAAAAGCUCAAAUUUGAAACCCUCGGGAUUGUAAUUUGAAGAUUUGGCAUUGGAGAAAGCUAACCCAAGUUGCUUGGAAUAGUACGUCAUAGAGGGUGACAACCCCGUCUGGCUAACCGUUCUCCAUGUAUUGCCUUAUCAAAGAGUCGAGUUGUUUGGGAAUGCAGCUCAAAGUGGGUGGUAAACUCCAUCUAAAGCUAAAUACUGGUGAGAGACCGAUAGCGAACAAGUACUGUGAAGGAAAGGUGAAAAGAACUUUGAAAAGAGAGUGAAAUAGUAUGUGAAAUUGUUGAUAGGGAAGGAAAUGAGUGGAGAGUGGCCGAGGUUUCAGCCGCCCCUCGUGGGCGGUGUACUGCCGACGCCGAGUCAUCGAUAGCGAGACGAGGGUUACAAAUGGGAGCGCCUUCGGGCGUUCUCCCCUAACCCUCCACACUGCCACCGACGACAUAAUCCACCCAUUUCACCCGUCUUGAAACACGGACCA
This 501-nucleotide ribosomal RNA is filed under the name Yarrowia lipolytica. Its description in RNAcentral is "eukaryotic LSU rRNA". It matches the Rfam family "Eukaryotic large subunit ribosomal RNA", at positions 85 to 668 of the family's 3401-position model. The record is from RNAcentral. Lineage: Eukaryota; Fungi; Ascomycota; Dipodascomycetes; Dipodascales.